CCUACGGGUGGCAGCAGUGGGGAAUAUUGGACAAUGGGGGGAAUCCUGAUCCAGCGACGCCGCGUGAGUGAAGAAGUAUUUCGGUAUGUAAAGCUCUAUCAGCAGGGAAGAAAGAAAUGACGGUACCUGACUAAGAAGCUCCGGCUAACUACGUGCCAGCAGCCGCGGUAAUACGUAGGGGGCAUGCCUUAUCCGGAUUUACUGGGUGUAAAGGGAGCGUAGGCGGCGAUGCGAGGCUGAAGUGAAAGGCGGGGGCCCAACCCCCGGACUGCUGUGGAAACUGGCAGUCUGGAGUGGAGGAGAGGUAAGUGGAAUGCGUGGUGUAGCGGUGAAAUGCGUAGAUAUUGCGAGGAACACCAGUGGCGAAGGCAGCUUACCGG
This 380-nucleotide ribosomal RNA is filed under the name uncultured bacterium. RNAcentral describes it as "partial 16S ribosomal RNA". It matches the Rfam family "Bacterial small subunit ribosomal RNA", at positions 338 to 732 of the family's 1533-position model. The record is from RNAcentral.